RNAcentral lists this ribosomal RNA (1011 nucleotides) under Triticum aestivum (bread wheat). RNAcentral describes it as "partial small subunit ribosomal RNA". The record is from RNAcentral. Lineage: Eukaryota; Viridiplantae; Streptophyta; Magnoliopsida; Poales; Poaceae.
GGGCACAAUGUCAACAAUUGCGCAGCUUGGGCGCAACCUCAUCCAGUUGCCACGUUCUUUGGUAGUUCUGCUUUAGGACUAGGAUUCUAUCACAUUGACGCUCAUGUGGGUCGUGAAGCAAAUUGGCUUAAUUUCAGGAAUUGUGGAGAAGUGUGGGUCAAUAAAGGAGAAAUCACCAAGUCUGAUCUGGUUAAGAAUCUGUCUGGAAUAUUUUGCAAAAACAAACAAUGGACAUGGCAGAUCAGACCAUUGACAGAAAAGAAGUUCCUGGUCAGAUUCCCACCCUGGAAAGAUGUGGAAGAGUUGAUUGAGUUCCCUGCCUUCGACUCUCCUAUCGAUGGAGUGUCUAUGUCAGUUGAGAAAUGGACCGGUGCAAUUGACCCAUUCAGCGAGCUUACUGAAGCCUGGGUUUGUAUUGAGGGCUUUUCUAAAUGGUGCACAUGGAAGGUCCUAUCACAGAUUGCAUCUUGUUUUGGAAUCCCUGUGGAUGUGGAUUGGAAUGGCCUAAUGAAGAGUUUCUAUGAGAAAGUGAGAGUCAAGAUUGCUUGCAGAGACCCAGCUAAGAUCCCCUUUGAACAGAUCAUGGAGAUGAGGAAAAAACUUUAUAUCUUAUCCUUUACAGUGGAAGGUUUUGAGCAGAUAGGAGCUUAUGAUCCUAAUGAUGACAAUGGGCCUACUGACAUAGCCGUGGAUGAUGACAACAAAGCAAUUGAAGAUGAGGAACUGGACAAGGACAUCCCGGAGGAUGGAGAGGAACCCAUUGAUGAUCUAGACCUGGCCAACAGGGCCUCCAACUCGAAAACCCCAACUGGGAAAAAAGCAAAUGAUGAUGGUGUUGCCUUCCAUCCUGCUGCUCUGUUAGAGGCAUGCGUCUCUUCUGUGAGAGCAAGAAGACUGAAGGAAAAACCAAGACUCAGAGCAUGUGCUCGUCCAUACCCUUCUCUGAGGCGGCCAGAAUCCUUAGCACCCCCAGCAAAUCCUAUGAUGUCAAGGCACUCACUACGCCGUUGA